CCCCACCUCAGUGCCCUGCCAGCACAUAGGGCAUCUGGAACACCACAGUCAUUCAUAAUGCAAAACAUGCCUACAAGAGACCUAAGCCACUGCAGUGACAGGAAGGAACAAGAUGUGGGAAUGCAGCUCUAAGAGCUCCAGAAAAACUCUGAUUUCCUGCAAUCUACAAACUGCACCUUGUUACAAUCCAGCUCUGUCCAGCUGUGAAGAUGGUGUCCUCUAGAAUACUGAGGAGGAAGAACAGCAAUAAAAAUAAAAAGUAUGAAGGAACUGUGGAGCACUGGGAGACCCUACAGAUGAAAGCCCUGAGGGUGGAAGAACAAUGAACACCAACUUUCAACCAGGAAAAGAAAAUCAACCUUUCCACUGGCAUCAGUGCAAGACCCUCCCUUUGAGGGGUGCACAUGGAGCUCAAGGGUUCUGAUGUCUUUCUUUGUGAGGAAGAAGAUGACAUGUUCCUCCAUAACAAUGACUCCUUUGGAAGUACACAUACACACAAACCCAAGCUCCCUUUCUUCCUGAAAUUAAAUACUCUGUCAACUUUUGUUUCCUCUAGUUCUGGGAUUUUUCUUCCAAUGCACUGGAUAUGUCAAAAGUAUGUAUAAUGAGCAGGGGGUGCUGCAUACAAUUCUUGGUCAUACAUGAUUGACUGGAUGUUCAGAGAUAGGCUCUGGUAUCCAUGGUACUGUAACAGAGUUAAUCCCCUAUGGUUUAAUGUUGAAAACUUGUGCCUUCCUUUCCCUUCCUGCAGCAUGAGUGUAAUAAUACAGGCCAUUUUUCAUGAAUGGUUUUGUAAGAGCUCCUCUAUUCCAGGUUAAUAAUCCCUUGCUGUAAAGGAUAAAUAUCCUAAUUGUUCUAACAUCCCCUGACUCUGACGGCCUUGAAGUUGGCUGUGCCAUUCAAUGAGUAGGACUCAAUUAUCUUCUUAAUUAUUAACUUAAAAACACUGGGAAACAAUUGCUGACCCUUGGGAUUAGUUUCAUUUUUUUACAGCCUAAUCCUUCAGUUUUAAGCAUGAAAAAAGUCCUUCCCCAAACUUGCCUGUGUGAGUGAGAGCCUGAGGAUCUGGUCUCCAGCCCUUUGAAGGAGUGUAUCUGACUUGGCACUCAGCUGUUUUACCUUUGUCUUAGCCGAGAGCAUAAUUGCCAGCAAAGCCUUUCUGGGACCAUCCAACUUCCUCAAUUGGGGAGAACAGUCAAAUCUGUCUUACUGAAAGCAGAUGAUAUCCUUUAGAGAUUACAAACAAUAUCAUCUUUCUGAUGUUUAGCCCUUCUCUUUUUCCUGCAGGAAAGUGGCAACAACAGCCAAUACAUUCAAGAGACAGGAAAGGAUUUUUCAUAAAGGAUUAUAGAGUUGUUUUGCUGCUCACAUCUCCUGUUUUUUUGCAUAAUAAUCUCCAUAACAAACUGUGCUUGAUUCUGCCCCUGUUGAUAUCAGUGACAAAACUCCCACGGAUUUUAGCUGGAACAGCAUCAAAACCUACUUUACUGAUGAUUUGAAAGGAAAAUAAUUUUUUCUCCUAAGUUUCAUAUGUAAUUUCUUGUCCCCUUUCUUUCACUGCCUCUUGUGUAGAGACAUGGAGACCUUGUAGAAGCUUAUUUUUAUAAUAUCCCUGUGACUGUCAUAGAAGCCAAUUACAGUGCCAAAGUCCCAAGGACUUUAUUGUUACAACUCACAAGCCUUUCCCAGAAAUGAAGGAUUCUACUAAAUUUCACUGAAGACAUAGGACAGAUUAUGAGGCAUGGCAUGAAGAAAGAACAGUCUGAGUCUCUGCAUGUGUUUUCUACUCCUCUCUUGUCUGUUUGAGCAACCUUUGGUUUUCAGAAAUGAUUAAAUAUUAAAUAAUUUUCUUGUGCCAAAUAUUUGCUAUUGGCAAAUAUGCCGUGAUAUGGCACCACUCAAAUCUCCCUCUUACCUAAAUAUUACAUUGAUGAGACUACUGAGACUUGUUGUUGUUGUUUAUCAUGGUUUCUGCAGGGAAUCUAGCCUCAACUAUUAGUACCACAAGGAACAGCUGUAAAUGGUCCAUCAUAGCAAAAGCCACUUACCUGAAAUUCACACCUGCAGGGCAGGCAGUGUGCAUAAACAUCUCUGUACACAUUGCUGUGCUGUUUGUACUUCAAAAACUCUCAUGACGCUUAUAAGAAGGACAUAAACUGAUGUAUACACAAUAUGAGGAAGGUACAGUAGCUUCAUGUUUCCUCUGCAGAAAGAGUUCCAUGGGAACAUCAUGCUGUUAAUUUUUAAACUAGACUCCCAAACAAUAUCCUUAUUAUGGUAUGAGUCCUGCUGGCUAAACAAGAUGUGAUUUCUCUGUUCCAUUUUUAUCUAUAUAGAAAAAUUCUUGUAAUAAGGUUAGUAUAAGGAGAAUAGGUUUUUCUCACUAGUAUGAGUUAUGUUAAAAGAGAAAAAUUAAUUGCUUUUUUAAAAAGUAUGAGUUUUCUCACUAACAUAAUGUGUACCUUUACAGCUGAGCAGUGGAAGGUGAGCAGUGAUGACAGUCAUUCUCUGAGCAGAAUUUUAAGAAGAAUGGUUUCUGAAUCUAUAUUUCAAUGUUUUUAAGCUAGAAGUACCAUUUUAAAAGUUAGGUUGAUCUGGUAUAAUUCAUGUAAUAUAAUUCAUAUUGCUGUAACCUGAUUUAAUUUUAAAUUAGAUCAAAUAUAUAGACAAUCUUUACAAAGGUGUUCAUGCAGAAACUCAAUGAGAAACCACGGCUCCAGAAAAUAUUUACUGCGCAUAUAAGCCAUUUGGUGAUAGACAAGUGACCAAGGAGUGACUGAGAGAGUGCAGCAAGCUACCUCUGCAGCCACAGGACCUGCAGACAUUAUUCUAUUGAGCCUGCUGCCAGAUGAAAAGUGUUUGCUUAGCUCCUGGAAAAGGUAGUGUAAGGUCAUGCAUUUCAGCUGCAGUCAGGGUAGCAGGGAGACUGAGAGAUGCACAUAUUGGCAUCUGGUAUUGUGAUUUGACUGAAGAUGAGCUCAGCCCCUGGUAACAAUUGCUGGAGAUUGUGCAGCCAUCACCCUGACAUCUGCAGUGCUACUGCAUUUUGUGUAUUUGCCUCCAUUUUUCCUCUGAACUGAACAGAACUGUGAGGGGCCAACAGCUCAGAAGAUGCCCUCUGAAAGAAAGUAUGUGGAAUUUAAACUGGGUUAUUCUGGACUUUCCAGUGAAGAAGUAUUUGCUGGGGAAUUCUGUAACUACUCCUUUUUGCCAAUUACCUAAAUAAGACUUCAAGUUGACAUAGCUGGUGCCUUGCAUUGCUGCAGCCUUUUGGGGAUAAAUUUCCCACUGCUGGAUUUGCUGACAUGUGAAGACAUAAGUUAAAACAUUUAUGAGAUGUUUUCUCCAUGCUCCAGAAAAAAAAAAAAAAAAAAAAAAAAGAAAUCUCAAUUUUUUGUCUUUUGUCGUUUGCUUUUUUUUUAAUUUCAAGAUUAACUUUUGCACAACAGAUCAAAAGAAAUUUUCUCUGCUUCAUAGUCUGAGAAUUGUAGCAGCUAGGCUGAAAGGCUCAGCAAAACAAAAGCACAACAGACUGAAAUUUAGCAAGAGAUUUCAAAUUAGAGGGACAAUUGCCAACAGCUAAUUUUUUAUUUGGUUAGAGCUGGCUUCCACCCCAGCUGAUUACAAAGCCAUGUCCAAGGGUUCUGAAUGAGGUGGUGCCAAGGAGAUUUGAGGUCUGUCAAAAGUAGUCUUGUUUCAUGGUUGACCAUGCAAGAAUUAGAACAGAGUUCUGUGAAGAAAUGUAUUCAUAUAAAAUACAGGUAGUCAAGGCAAAAGGCAUUGCCUUACUGAAGGGGUGUUGACAAAGGAUAAAUUUUAGUCUAAUGACACCAGUUUCCAAAGGGGCCCCGUACAUUCAGUGCAUAGAAAUUGGCUACAAAUGUAGGGGAUUUGGAGCAGUUAAAUUAUUCUUCGAUAUUUGUCCUCCUGAGGCAUCUCCACCUAUU
Molecule: long non-coding RNA, 3947 nt
Organism: Motacilla alba alba
Lineage: Eukaryota; Metazoa; Chordata; Aves; Passeriformes; Motacillidae
Exons: 4
Source: RefSeq, a predicted model, not a curated record